Molecule: ribosomal RNA, 1560 nt
Filed under: human gut metagenome
Description: bacterial LSU rRNA
Rfam family: Bacterial large subunit ribosomal RNA
Source: RNAcentral
UGUUAACCGAACGGCAUGGGAAGGCCGGUCAGAGAGUGUGAGAACCACGUAGGUGAAAACGGAAAGAGCUGCGCAGAUUCCAGAGUACGGCCAGACACGUGAAACCUGGUCGGAAGAUGGGGGGACCACCCUCCAACCCUAAAUACUACCCAGUGACCGAUAGCGUAUAGUACUGUGAAGGAAAGGUGAAAAGCACCCCGGGAGGGGAGUGAAAAAGAACCUGAAACCCUGUGCCUACAAGCACCUAGAGCGCGUCAAUGCGUGAUAGGGUACUUUUUGUAGAACGGUCCGGCGAGCGAUUGUAUGCAGCAAGGUUAAGGACUUAAGGUCUGGAGCCGAAGCGAAAGCGAGUUUGAAAAGGGCGUUAAGUUGCAUAUAAUGGGCCCGAAACCGGGUGACCUACCCAUGGUCAGGUUGAAGUGGAAGUAAAAUUCCAUGGAGGACCGAACCGACCUCCGUUGAAAAGGCGGCGGAUGAACUGUGGGUAGCGGAGAAAUUCCAAUCGAACCCGGAGAUAGCUGGUUCUCCCCGAAAUAGUUUUAGGACUAGCCUCAAGUUAGAUACCUGGAGGUAAAGCACUGAAUAGCCUAGCGGCCGAGAGGUUAGCGAAGCUUAUCAAACUCAGAAUGCCAGAGUAUUGAUGCUUGGGAGUCAGACAGUGUCAGAUAAAUGUCAUUGUCAAAAGGGAAACAGCCCAGAUCUACAGCUAAGGUCCCAAAGUCAGGUUAAGUGGAAAACGAUGUGAAGAUACGCAGACAACCAGGAUGUUGGCUCAGAAGCAGCCACUCAUUCAAAGAGUGCGUAAUAGCUCACUGGUCGAGCGUCUUUGCGCGGAGAAUUUAACGGGGCUAAACCUGACACCGAAGCUUAGGCAAUCCAGUAAUGGAUUGGGUAGGGGAGCGUUGUAUACGCGGAGAAACAGUAGCGUGAGCGGCUGUGGAGUGUAUAGAAGUGAGAAUGCCGGAAUGAGUAGCGCGAAUGCAGUGAGAAUCUGCAUGGCCGAAAGCCUCAGGUUUUUGGAGGAAGGUUCGUCCGCUCCAAGUUAGUCGGGAGCUAAGGUGAGGCCGGAAGGCGUAGCCGAUGCACAGACGGUAGAGAUUCCGUCACCACCAAAAGAGUUAAGCACAGGGACACAUUUGAAGUCUCAGAGCCGGGUGUUGGUUCCGGUAGAGAUCGAGGGAAGUUAGUACCGAAGUCUGGGAUGGAAGAUGGCGAGAAAAGCUGUGUGUAUUUCUGAGGUGCCCGUACCGCAAACCGACACAGGUAGGUAGGAAGAAGAUUCUAAGGCCAACGGGAGAAGGGUUGUUAAGGAACUCGGCAAAUUGACCCCGUAACUUCGGGAGAAGGGGUGCUCCAGAGAUGGAGCCGCAGAGAAUCGGCCCAAGCAACUGUUUACCAAAAACACAGGUUUGUGCUAAAUCGAAAGAUGACGUAUACGAGCUGACGCCUGCCCGGUGCUGGAAGGUUAAGAGGAGAUGUGCAAGCAUUGAAUCGAAGCCCCAGUGAACGGCGGCCGUAACUAUAACGGUCCUAAGGUAGCGAAAUUCCUUGUCAGGUAAG